RNAcentral lists this ribosomal RNA (1333 nucleotides) under uncultured bacterium. RNAcentral describes it as "bacterial SSU rRNA". It matches the Rfam family "Bacterial small subunit ribosomal RNA", at positions 28 to 1382 of the family's 1533-position model. The record is from RNAcentral.
GACGAACGCUGGCGGCGCGCCUAACACAUGCAAGUCGAACGAGCAAGAGAGAGCUUGCUUUCUCGAGCGAGUGGCGAACGGGUGAGUAACGCGUGAGGAACCUGCCUCAAAGAGGGGGACAACAGUUGGAAACGACUGCUAAUACCGCAUAAGCCCACGGGUCGGCAUCGACCAGAGGGAAAAGGAGCAAUCCGCUUUGAGAUGGCCUCGCGUCCGAUUAGCUAGUUGGUGAGGUAAUGGCCCACCAAGGCGACGAUCGGUAGCCGGACUGAGAGGUUGAACGGCCACAUUGGGACUGAGACACGGCCCAGACUCCUACGGGAGGCAGCAGUGGGGAAUAUUGCACAAUGGGGGAAACCCUGAUGCAGCGACGCCGCGUGGAGGAAGAAGGUCUUCGGAUUGUAAACUCCUGUUGUUGGGGAAGAUAAUGACGGUACCCAACAAGGAAGUGACGGCUAACUACGUGCCAGCAGCCGCGGUAAAACGUAGGUCACAAGCGUUGUCCGGAAUUACUGGGUGUAAAGGGAGCGCAGGCGGGAAGACAAGUUGGAAGUGAAAUCUAUGGGCUCAACCCAUAAACUGCUUUCAAAACUGUUUUUCUUGAGUAGUGCAGAGGUAGGCGGAAUUCCCGGUGUAGCGGUGGAAUGCGUAGAUAUCGGGAGGAACACCAGUGGCGAAGGCGGCCUACUGGGCACCAACUGACGCUGAGGCUCGAAAGUGUGGGUAGCAAACAGGAUUAGAUACCCUGGUAGUCCACACCGUAAACGAUGAUUACUAGGUGUUGGAGGAUUGACCCCUUCAGUGCCGCAGUUAACACAAUAAGUAAUCCACCUGGGGAGUACGACCGCAAGGUUGAAACUCAAAGGAAUUGACGGGGGCCCGCACAAGCAGUGGAGUAUGUGGUUUAAUUCGACGCAACGCGAAGAACCUUACCAAGUCUUGACAUCCCUUGACAGACAUAGAAAUAUGUAAUCUCUUCGGAGCAAGGAGACAGGUGGUGCAUGGUUGUCGUCAGCUCGUGUCGUGAGAUGUUGGGUUAAGUCCCGCAACGAGCGCAACCCUUAUGGUCAGUUACUACGCAAGAGGACUCUGGCCAGACUGCCGUUGACAAAACGGAGGAAGGUGGGGAUGACGUCAAAUCAUCAUGCCCUUUAUGACUUGGGCUACACACGUACUACAAUGGCGUUAAACAAAGAGAAGCAAGACCGCGAGGUGGGGCAAAACUCAGAAACAACGUCCCAGUUCGGACUGCAGGCUGCAACUCGCCUGCACGAAGUCGGAAUUGCUAGUAAUCGUGGAUCAGCAUGUCACGGUGAAUACGUUCCCGGGCCUU